CCUACGGGAGGCAGCAGUGGGGAAUCUUGCGCAAUGGGCGAAAGCCUGACGCAGCCAUGCCGCGUGAAUGAUGAAGGUCUUAGGAUUGUAAAAUUCUUUCACCGAGGACGAUAAUGACGGUACUCGGAGAAGAAGCCCCGGCUAACUUCGUGCCAGCAGCCGCGGUAAUACGAAGGGGGCUAGCGUUGCUCGGAAUUACUGGGCGUAAAGGGAGCGUAGGCGGAUAGUUUAGUCAGAGGUGAAAGCCCAGGGCUCAACCUUGGAAUUGCCUUUGAUACUGGCUAUCUUGAGUACGGAAGAGGUAUGUGGAACUCCGAGUGUAGAGGUGAAAUUCGUAGAUAUUCGGAAGAACACCAGUGGCGAAGGCGACAUACUGGUCCGUUACUGACGCUGAGGCUCGAAAGCGUGGGGAGCAAACAGGAUUAGAUACCCUGGUAGUCCACGCUGUAACGAUAGAGUGCUAGUUGUCGGCGAUGCAUGCAUGUCGGUGACGCAGCUAACGACAUAAGACACGUCCGCCGUCGGGUAGGUACGGUCGCGAAGUAAGUUAAACUUAACGAAAGUAAGUUAGUUACGGCGUUGAGACGNGCGACGGACGACGACGAGGGAGGAGG
Molecule: ribosomal RNA, 614 nt
Filed under: uncultured bacterium
Lineage: Bacteria
Description: bacterial SSU rRNA
Rfam family: Bacterial small subunit ribosomal RNA (bases 1-520)
Source: RNAcentral